Molecule: non-coding RNA, 245 nt
Filed under: Peptostreptococcus stomatis
Lineage: Bacteria; Bacillati; Bacillota; Clostridia; Peptostreptococcales; Peptostreptococcaceae
Description: T-box sequence
Rfam family: T-box leader
About the family: Uncharged tRNA acts as the effector for transcription antitermination of genes in the T-box leader family. T-boxes are found upstream of many aminoacyl-tRNA synthetase genes and some amino acid biosynthetic genes usually in Gram-positive bacteria.
Source: RNAcentral
GAAAAUCCUAUGAGGGGAAAUAGUAGGUUAGUUAACUAUUGAUAGAGAGUCGGUGAUGGUGGAAUACCGAUAUUAGCAACUGAUUGAAUGGGUCUCUGAGGAGUGAAUCGAAAUCUUUUCGAGAGUAGACUUCACCGUGGGCUGCACGAUAUAGCGGAUAGGGAAUCAUGUGUUCCUGAAUAGAGAUGUACGAGUCUAUUCUCGUAUAAAUUAGGUGGCAACGCGGAUUAUACUUCGCCCUAUAU